RNAcentral lists this ribosomal RNA (253 nucleotides) under uncultured bacterium. RNAcentral's name for it is "partial 16S ribosomal RNA". It matches the Rfam family "Bacterial small subunit ribosomal RNA", at positions 524 to 776 of the family's 1533-position model. The record is from RNAcentral.
UACGUAGGGGGCUAGCGUUGCUCGGAAUCACUGGGCGUAAAGGGUGCGUAGGCGGGUUUUUACGUCGGAGGUGAAAUCCUGGAGCUCAACUCCAGAACUGCCUUUGAUACUGAAAGUCUUGAGUAUGGGAGAGGUGAGUGGAACUGCGAGUGUAGAGGUGAAAUUCGUAGAUAUUCGCAAGAACACCAGUGGCGAAGGCGGCUCACUGGCCCAUAACUGACGCUGAGGCACGAAAGCGUGGGGAGCAAACAGG